This 519-nucleotide long non-coding RNA is filed under the name Brassica napus (rape). Its description in RNAcentral is "long non-coding RNA (BNAP_LNC017454)". The record is from RNAcentral. Lineage: Eukaryota; Viridiplantae; Streptophyta; Magnoliopsida; Brassicales; Brassicaceae.
UUUUAGCUAGGUGGAGUCGACAAGGCUUGAGCUUGUUACAAUGGUUUGUGUUGAUGAUGAUGAUCAUGAUGAUGAUGAUGAUGAUGGUUGUGGUGGUGGUUUCGACAAGGUAUGUGAAGUGAGAGGAGGUUAAUUCUUUUUUUUCUGUAAUAUCGAGCAAUAUUGCUUUAGAAAAAUACAGUUUGUGUAAUGAUGUCUUAUAAAUUUAAGAACUUUACUUUAGAAUCUGUGUGAGUUCAUCAAUAAAGAAACGUGAAAGAGAAGAUAACCUCUAAACUUCCUCGUUUCGUUUUGAUAUGCAACAUUUAUAAUGCAUAUCAAGGAAAUUAAUCAGUUGCGAGAGAAGAAUUGAAGGUUUUGUUUCAUUCACCAUGAAUGGAGGAGAUCUUGAUACAUCUUAUAUAUACAACAAACUGAUGAACGGAAAGCAAAUCAUGAAUCCACAACAUGACAUAAUGAAUACAUUAACACGUAACAAUUUUUUUACAUAAACAUAUAUUUUGUUUGUAAAAAAACAUG